This 301-nucleotide ribosomal RNA is filed under the name uncultured bacterium. Its description in RNAcentral is "partial 16S ribosomal RNA". It matches the Rfam family "Bacterial small subunit ribosomal RNA", at positions 509 to 809 of the family's 1533-position model. The record is from RNAcentral.
CAGCCGCCGCGGGAAAACGUAGGGUGCAAGCGUUAAUCGGAAUUACUGGGCGUAAAGCGUGCGCAGGCGGUUUGUUAAGACAGAUGUGAAAUCCCCGGGCUCAACCUGGGAACUGCAUUUGUGACUGGCAAGCUAGAGUCUGGCAGAGGGGGGUGGAAUUCCGCGUGUAGCAGUGAAAUGCGUAGAUAUGCGGAGGAACACCGAUGGCGAAGGCAGCCCCCUGGGCCAACACUGACGCUCAUGCACGAAAGCGUGGGGAGCAAACAGGAUUAGAUACCCCUGUAGUCCCUGUCUUUAUACA